This 288-nucleotide unclassified non-coding RNA is filed under the name Hevea brasiliensis (rubber tree). Lineage: Eukaryota; Viridiplantae; Streptophyta; Magnoliopsida; Malpighiales; Euphorbiaceae. The record is from RNAcentral.
GAAAGAAAUUCUGGUGGUGGUGUCGCUUAGUGCUUGUCAGUUAAUCCAAAGUCCAAAUACAAUGGGAUAAAGAAAAUCAUAAUACUGAUUUGUUUGUGGCAAUCAGCAAAUUAUCCAUUUUAAUGAGCAUUUAUAUUUUAGACAUGUUAACAGGGAAGCAAAUUUAUAUGCUGAUUGGUUGACUUCUUAGGGGAGUUCAUGUGUUUGUUUGUCCUUCCAAAUGUGUGAUUUAGUUUGUGCACAGGGACAUGAGGGAUGUGGCAUCCCCUGGUCUUGUGCCUUUCUUAG